AGCAGCCGCGGUAAUUCCAGCUCCAAUAGCGUAUAUUAAAGUUGUUGCAGUUAAAAAGCUCGUAGUUGAAUUUUAGGCUUGACCGGGCGGUCCGUCUCUGGCGAGUACUGUCCUGUUGUCGGGUCUAUCCUUCUGGUGAGCCGGUAUGUCCUUAAUUGGGCGUGUCGGGGAACCAGGACCAUUACCUUGAAAAAAUUAGAGUGUUUAAAGCGGGCUUUUGCUUGAAUAGAUUAGCAUGGAAUAAUAGAAUAGGACGUUGGUUCUAUUUUGUUGGUCUAGGACCACCGUAAUGAUUAAUAGGGAUAGUUGGGGGCAUUAGUAUUCAAUUGUCAGAGGUGAAAUUCUUGGAUUUAUUGAAGACUAACUACUGCGAAAGCAUUUGCCAAGGAUGUUUUCAUUAAUCAAGAACGAAAGUUAGGGGAUCGAAGACGAUCAGAUACCGUCGUAGUCUUAACCAUAAACUAUGCCGACUAGGAAUCGGGCGACGUUAUUUUCAUGACUCGCUCGGCGCCUUAUG
RNAcentral lists this ribosomal RNA (517 nucleotides) under uncultured Archaeospora. RNAcentral describes it as "SSU rRNA". It matches the Rfam family "Eukaryotic small subunit ribosomal RNA", at positions 569 to 1092 of the family's 1831-position model. Lineage: Eukaryota; Fungi; Glomeromycota; Glomeromycetes; Archaeosporales; Archaeosporaceae. The record is from RNAcentral.